Suncus etruscus (white-toothed pygmy shrew) is the source of this 107-nucleotide small nuclear RNA. The record is from RefSeq and is a predicted model, not a curated record. Lineage: Eukaryota; Metazoa; Chordata; Mammalia; Eulipotyphla; Soricidae.
GUGCUCCCUUUGGCAGGACAUAUACUAAAAUUAGAACUCUACAGAGAAGAUUAGCAUGGCCCCUGUGCAAGGAUGACAUGCAAAUUAGUGAAGUGUUCCAUAUUUUA